RNAcentral lists this ribosomal RNA (468 nucleotides) under uncultured bacterium. RNAcentral's name for it is "partial 16S ribosomal RNA". It matches the Rfam family "Bacterial small subunit ribosomal RNA", at positions 28 to 507 of the family's 1533-position model. The record is from RNAcentral.
GACGAACGCUGGCGGCGUGCUUAACACAUGCAAGUCGAACGGAAAGGCCCUGCUUUUGUGGGGUGCUCGAGUGGCGAACGGGUGAGUAACACGUGAGUAACCUGCCCUUGACUUUGGGAUGACUUCAGGAAACUGGGGCUAAUACCGGAUAGGAGCUCCUGCUGCAUGGUGGGGGUUGGAAAGUUUCGGCGGUUGGGGAUGGACUCGCGGCUUAUCAGCUUGUUGGUGGGGUAGUGGCUUACCAAGGCUUUGACGGGUAGCCGGCCUGAGAGGGUGACCGGACACAUUGGGACUGAGAUACGGACCAGACUCCUACGGGAGGCAGCAGUGGGGAAUAUUGCACAAUGGGCGGAAGCCUGAUGCAGCAACGCCGCGUGCGGGAUGACGGCCUUCGGGUUGUAAACCGCUUUCGCCUGUGACGAAGCGUGAGUGACGGUAAUGGGUAAAGAAGCACCGGCUAACUACGUG